RNAcentral lists this ribosomal RNA (437 nucleotides) under uncultured bacterium. Its description in RNAcentral is "partial 16S ribosomal RNA". It matches the Rfam family "Bacterial small subunit ribosomal RNA", at positions 29 to 507 of the family's 1533-position model. The record is from RNAcentral.
AGCGAACGCUGGCGGCAGGCUUAACACAUGCAAGUCGAGCGGGCAUCCUUGUGGUGUCCGCGGCAGACGGGUGAGUAACGCGUGGGAACGUGCCCUUCGGUUCGGAAUAACUCAGGGAAACUUGAGCUAAUACCGGAUACGUGCGAGAGCAGAAAGGUUUAUCUGCCGAAGGAUCGGCCCGCGUCUGAUUAGCUAGUUGGUGAGGUUAUGGCUCACCAAGGCGACGAUCAGUAGCUGGUCUGAGAGGAUGAUCAGCCACACUGGGACUGAGACACGGCCCAGACUCCUACGGGAGGCAGCAGUGGGGAAUAUUGGACAGUGGGGGCAACCCUGAUCCAGCCAGGCCGCGUGAGUGAUGUCGGCCUUAGGGUUGUAAAGCUCUUUUCUUCGGGACGAUAAUGACGGUACCGGAGGAAUAAGCCCCGGCUAACUUCGUG